This 534-nucleotide long non-coding RNA is filed under the name Brassica napus (rape). RNAcentral's name for it is "long non-coding RNA (BNAP_LNC008128)". The record is from RNAcentral. Lineage: Eukaryota; Viridiplantae; Streptophyta; Magnoliopsida; Brassicales; Brassicaceae.
AAUUGUUUUGGAGAUCCUUCAGUGACAAGUUUAGAAGCAGUCUUCAAAAGUUCUUAACGGAAGAAAAAUGUCUCCUGCCAAUCGUUAAUCUUGGCGUUGCUUCAUUAUAGCCAACUCCGAUUUAUAGUAUUAUGUUUUUCAAUCAAAAAUUUCCUUUUCCCAAUUCUUUUUUAAACUACCGUUAGAAGUUCAGAUGAUCGAAAGGGUUGGAUUAUGUUUAUUUUGUGGGACAUUAAUUUCCAUAACAAUUAAGAUUAGCGAUAACUUUGGUGACAUGUAUCUGCAAAACUUUUAACAUAUAGUAAACUUAGCAAACUAAUUAGUAUCAGUGUACUAAAGAACCAAUUGAAAUUUUCACAGACCCCAAAAUACUCACUUUUUAUAUAAAAAUAAAUAUUUAAAAAAAUAAUAAAGUAUACAUAUAAAAUUAAUAAACGGGUUGCAAAGUGUCAGUAACACAUGAUUCAGAGAACUCCUUCAUUUGAUUGUUUGUAGAAAAUAGAUAUUGGCUGAUUUAAAAAUUAAAAAUAAAUU